CUAUUAUAUAGUACUCAGACAUCACUAAUAUCAGGAGUUGGGUCCUCUGGCGGGCACUCCCCAGCGGGAGCCGAGGGCAGAUGCGGCCCGCCAAAGCAACGAUGGUAAAGUUCACAAAGGGUGUAGGGUUGAGCCGCCAUCUCCCUCCCUACACGAUCGGGUUUCCCCUCUCAAGUGCAAUUGGGAGGUCUGUACGACCCCUUUUGAGCACGGUGUCGGGACGCACCCGUGAGGGCACGCCUCGCCGACGGUGUGCUGUGUAAUGAUCCUUCCGCAGGUUCACCUACGGAAACCUUGUUACGACUUUUACUUCCUCUAAAUGACCAAGA
This 329-nucleotide unclassified non-coding RNA is filed under the name uncultured fungus. RNAcentral describes it as "sequence contains 18S rRNA gene, ITS1, 5.8S rRNA gene, ITS2". The record is from RNAcentral. Lineage: Eukaryota; Fungi.